RNAcentral lists this ribosomal RNA (254 nucleotides) under uncultured bacterium. RNAcentral's name for it is "partial 16S ribosomal RNA". It matches the Rfam family "Bacterial small subunit ribosomal RNA", at positions 524 to 776 of the family's 1533-position model. The record is from RNAcentral.
UACGGAGGGUGCGAGCGUUGUCCGGAAUCACUGGGCGUAAAGGGCGCGUAGGUGGCUUGGCAAGCGUGUGGUGAAAGCCCGGGGCUCAACCCCGGGUCUGCCGUGCGAACUGCUAUGGCUUGAGCACUGUAGAGGCAGGUGGAAUUCCGGGUGUAGCGGUGGAAUGCGUAGAGAUCCGGAAGAACACCGGUGGCGAAGGCGGCCUGCUGGGCAGUGGCUGACGCUGAGGCGCGACAGCGUGGGGAGCAAACAGG